AAUGGGCGGAAGCCUGAACCAGCCAUGCCGCGUGCAGGAAGAAUGCCCUACGGGUUGUAAACUGCUUUUCCCCGGGAAGAAUAAGGCCCCUGCGGGGGUCGAUGCCGGUACCGGGGGAAUAAGGAUCGGCUAACUCCGUGCCAGCAGCCGCGGUAAUACGGAGGAUCCUAGCGUUAUCCGGAUUUACUGGGUUUAAAGGGUGCGUAGGCGGCCCUGCAAGUCAGCGGUGAAAUGUGGCGGCUCAACCGUUUCGCUGCCGCUGAUACUGUGGGGCUUGGAUGCGGUCGAGGCGGGUGGAAUUCGUGGUGUAGCGGUGAAAUGCAUAGAUAUCACGAGGAACGCCGAUAGCGAAGGCAGCUCGCCGGGCCGCGAUCGACGCUGAGGCACGAAAGCGUGGGGAUCAAA
This 405-nucleotide ribosomal RNA is filed under the name uncultured bacterium. RNAcentral describes it as "bacterial SSU rRNA". It matches the Rfam family "Bacterial small subunit ribosomal RNA", at positions 370 to 772 of the family's 1533-position model. The record is from RNAcentral.